Long non-coding RNA from Varanus komodoensis (Komodo dragon), 1771 nucleotides. RefSeq lists it as uncharacterized. The record is from RefSeq and is a predicted model, not a curated record. The transcript is spliced from 3 exons. NCBI's taxonomy places the organism in Eukaryota, Metazoa, Chordata, Lepidosauria, Squamata, Varanidae.
GACGCCACAGAGCGAGCGGGGUCAGCCAAGUCAGCUUCGCAACCACAGCCGUGGGCCUCGGAUUUCGCAGCGCCACUAGCUAGCUGCGUCCUCCUCCGCAGGGAGGCUCUGCUGCGGAUCCAGCACUAACUUCCUCUCCGUUUGCGCUGGACUGGGGAAUGAUGGGCUACAGCCAAGGCAUGACGGAUCACGAGAGGCUCCAUGGAGUCUGUUUACGGAAAACAGUGCCAGGGCUCGCUGGAGCUGCGCUUUGUCAGUCGCGGAAAGGGGCGUGUGAGCCAGUUCCCAAAAGGAGGACAACCACCGAGGCUCCCUCCUCAGCCUGAAGCGCUGCAAGCCCGGGGCCCCCUGCCUUCCAGGGUUCCCUUCUGGCAGCCCCUGAUUCCAAGGAUGUCCCCCCGUCACGCACCUCAGGUGCUUCCAGCCCAGCUGAGGAAAGGACGCGGGAUCCUUCUGUCCCCAGCAGCGUGCACGGCCACGGUGCUCUUUCCUUAGAAGGAGCACACACUUCUGCCCCGCUCGCCUGAGCCUGGAGCUGCCCACGCAGAUAACAAGCAGAACGACUCUAAGGAACACCAAGCAGCGACUCAAGCCAAACAGCAUAAGAUCAUAAACAACCGACUCCUUCUGAAAUCCAGCCCAAAGGCCGUCUUUUCCCACGGCUACCGUAUGCGAAGCACCCCUGCUGUAGAGUUCAUAGCAGUAUGUGGUGUGCUCUGCAGCCAAGGUAUGAGUGAAUGCCUUCCAGCAAUCCCUGCAACAAUCAAGCCGAUUAUUCACACUGGCAGCUUCCAGGAUAGAUUACUGCAAUGGUCUUGAUGUGGGGCAGCCCUUGAAGACGGUCCAGACUACAGCUGUGGAGUUCUAAGAGAUGCUGCUCAUUCAGGCCACAUAAGACUCAUUUACCUUCAGCUUCACCAGCAAUCGGUUUGCUCCUGAGCUGAGUGCAGAACGCUGGCACCGUGCCCACGGCUAACCUGUCUCUUGACCCGUGCCAAAGCCCCUCCUUUGGGACGUGCCUUCAGAAAUACUGGUUGCAGUACCUGCUGCUCAGAACAGCUGCCCGGGAGAGGGGCUCCCCUGGGCGGUUCUUGGGCAGAAGACCAUUUCAGUUAGGUAAUUAUUGGCUCUCAAGGCGGAUCGAGUGGGCAAGAGAGAGACAGGCGGGCCCCUGAGAGUCUGUCGGAUUCACAGACUAAAAGGACAGGCAGGGCUUCCCUUGCUGGGUUUCCUGCUUGAGAAGCAAACUGGCAACUUCCGUCUCUUUGGCUGACAGAUGAGGCCAGAUGAGCAAGCACAAAACAUCCUGGCACACACUCAGGCCAGGUCGCACUGGCGACCCUGGAAGUGGGCCGUGCGAGUCCGUGGUGCUGUGCCCUUCUUGUCUUCCUCCAUUUACUAUAAAUAGCCCCAAGGAAGCAUUUGGGGCUCCCUAGACAUGACGCGGGCGCUGCAAAUCUCCAACUGCACCACACCCUGCCUUUUGGCAUCUGCCAGGAAAUCAUCUUCCGCCUUCCGCUCCCCUCAUUUCUGCUUCUCUGGCCUAAUGCUUCCCGCAGAGCACAAGUCCAAACCGCCAAAGAAGGGCACAGUGUUUUAAAAAACCUGCACAACUUUGCAGGCAGGCACUUGAGCGAAAGGCCUCGCAAGUUCAGCUCCACCAGAGAUGCACAAACUGCUCUGAGCUACAUUUAAAAACAUUUCGUUUCCGCUGGCAGAAUGAAACUCCUCCGCGGCACAGAAAGGAAGGCAUUUCUGCUUUCACAAAGGC